RNAcentral lists this ribosomal RNA (663 nucleotides) under uncultured cyanobacterium. RNAcentral's name for it is "bacterial SSU rRNA". It matches the Rfam family "Bacterial small subunit ribosomal RNA", at positions 99 to 795 of the family's 1533-position model. Lineage: Bacteria; Bacillati; Cyanobacteriota. The record is from RNAcentral.
CGGACGGGUGAGUAACGCGUGAGAAUCUGGCUUCAGGUCUGGGACAACCACUGGAAACGGUGGCUAAUACCGGAUGUGCCGAGAGGUGAAAGGUUAACUGCCUGAAGAUGAGCUCGCGUCUGAUUAGCUAGUUGGAAGUGUAAUGGACUCCCAAGGCGACGAUCAGUAGCUGGUCUGAGAGGACGAUCAGCCACACUGGGACUGAGACACGGCCCAGACUCCUACGGGAGGCAGCAGUGGGGAAUUUUCCGUAAUGGGCGAAAGCCUGACGGAGCAAUACCGCGUGAGGGAGGAAGGCUCUUGGGUCGUAAACCUCUUUUCUCAGGGAAGAACAAAAUGACGGUACCUGAGGAAUAAGCAUCGGCUAACUCCGUGCCAGCAGCCGCGGUAAUACGGAGGAUGCAAGCGUUAUCCGGAAUGAUUGGGCGUAAAGCGUCCGCAGGUGGCUAUGUAAGUCUGCUGUUAAAGAGUCUAGCUCAACUAGAUAAGAGCAGUGGAAACUACAAGGCUAGAGUACGUUCGGGGCAGAGGGAAUUCCUGGUGUAGCGGUGAAAUGCGUAGAGAUCAGGAAGAACACCGGUGGCGAAGGCGCUCUGCUAGGCCGUAACUGACACUGAGGGACGAAAGCUAGGGGAGCGAAUGGGAUUAGAUACCCCAGUAGUC